Long non-coding RNA from Saccostrea cuccullata (small rock oyster), 848 nucleotides. RefSeq lists it as uncharacterized. The record is from RefSeq and is a predicted model, not a curated record. The transcript is spliced from 3 exons. NCBI's taxonomy places the organism in Eukaryota, Metazoa, Mollusca, Bivalvia, Ostreida, Ostreidae.
GUUUACGAGAGUGCAUUUAUUGGGUAUUUUUCAUGCCAAGAUUGUACUUAUUGGGUACUUUUUGCUUAUUGGGUAUACCCAAUAAGAAGUGUAGCUGAAUAUGCUUAAAACACCCUAAUUGGGUAUUUGCAGGUUAGUACCCAACAAAACUUGGACACGACGAUUUGUCCAAAAAAGUGUCCAAAAAAGUUGCUUUCACGGACGCACCGUGUUUUGUUGUUUCAGUUUUACAUUCGGAACUCUAAAUUCUCGAGAGUUCCGAAAAUCAACUUCCGUUGAUCCUGAUCAUAACAACGUUUGUUUUCAUGGAAAAAAAUAUGGCGACUAAGAAACACUUAAUGUCAACAAGAUUUUCUGAUUGACAAGAGAAAAGGUCAAACAGGAACUUCAAUUGUGAACAUUGCAGAGAACAAACUCAUCAGAAGAUGACCCUCAGAAAUAGGACAAUUAAUGAAUAAAAUGGACAGAGGCAGAACUGAAGGAGAUGCAUGAAAUGAGGAAUAUUUCAAAGAUUGCCUGAGCAUAACCACUGCUACUGGACAAACAUAUGGCAAUAUAAAAGAGCAGGGUCAAUGGAAGUAUCAUACUGUAUAGGCCAUGAGAGACCCUGAAGAAGAAAGUAUUGAACAGAAACAAAAAUAAAACCAUUUUGACAUUUAUUGAAAUAUAGGAUCAAAGUCUUACAUGUAAAAUUUGGGCAUGUAAUGACUUUUCUCUAGCUCUAAGACUUAUAACAGUGAUGAUUUGAUUUAAUAUCUUUAUCCCGAUUUGUCGAAAAGAUUUGGACAUAGUGCAUCAAUUAUUUUAAAAUUUUGAUACAACGAAUUCAUUCAUUGUACUUGUAACUG